RNAcentral lists this ribosomal RNA (478 nucleotides) under uncultured bacterium. RNAcentral's name for it is "partial 16S ribosomal RNA". It matches the Rfam family "Bacterial small subunit ribosomal RNA", at positions 28 to 523 of the family's 1533-position model. The record is from RNAcentral.
GACGAACGCUGGCGGCGUGCUUAACACAUGUAAGUCGAACGGUAAGGCCCUUCGGGGUACACGAGUGGCGAACGGGUGAGUAACACGUGGGUGAUCUGCCCUGCACUUCGGGAUAAGCCUGGGAAACUGGGUCUAAUACCGGAUAGGACCACUGCCCGCACGGGUGGUGGUGGAAAGCUUUUGCGGUGUGGGAUGGGCCCGCGGCCUAUCAGCUUGUUGGUGGGGUGAUGGCCUACCAAGGCGACGACGGGUAGCCGGCCUGAGAGGGUGACCGGCCACACUGGGACUGAGAUACGGCCCAGACUCCUACGGGAGGCAGCAGUGGGGAAUAUUGCACAAUGGGCGCAAGCCUGAUGCAGCGACGCCGCGUGAGGGAUGACGGCCUUCGGGUUGUAAACCUCUUUCAGCACCGACGAAGCGCAAGUGACGGUAGGUGCAGAAGAAGGACCGGCCAACUACGUGCCAGCCGCCGCAGUAA